This 254-nucleotide ribosomal RNA is filed under the name uncultured bacterium. RNAcentral's name for it is "partial 16S ribosomal RNA". It matches the Rfam family "Bacterial small subunit ribosomal RNA", at positions 524 to 776 of the family's 1533-position model. The record is from RNAcentral.
UACGUAGGGACCGAGCGUUGUCCGGAAUCAUUGGGCGUAAAGAGCUCGUAGGCGGCCUGUUGCGUCCGCUGUGAAAUCCCGGGGCUCAACCCCGGGCCUGCAGUGGAUACGGGCUGGCGUAGAGGCAGGCAGGGGAGAACGGAAUUCCUGGUGUAGCGGUGAAAUGCGCAGAUAUCAGGAGGAACACCGGUGGCGAAGGCGGUUCUCUGGGCCUGUACUGACGCUGAGGAGCGAAAGCGUGGGGAGCGAACAGG